UAAUACGGAGGAGGCAAGCGUUGUCCGGAAUCACUGGGCGUAAAGGGUGUGUAGGUGUCCUGGUGGGUCAGAUGUGAAAUCCAACCGCUCAACGGUUGAACUGCAUUUGAAACUAUCAGGAUAGAGGACACUAGGGGAGAGUGGAACUCGCGGUGUAGCGGUAGAAUGCGUGGAUAUCGCGAGGAAUGCCGAUGGCGAAGGCGGCUCUCUGGGAUGUUCUUCGUAAUAAGAGGAGCUAUUCGAUUCAGAUCUUCGGAUUAAGAUUGAAUAGUCCUGACACUGAAACACGAGAGCUGGGGGAGCGAACGGGAUUAGAUACCCCGUUAGUCCACGCCGUAAACGAUGCCCGCUUGGUGUCGCAGACUUCUUGGGAGUCUGCGGUGCCGUAGCGUAGGUGUUAAGCGGGCCACCUGGGGAGUACGUCCGCAAGGAUG
RNAcentral lists this ribosomal RNA (434 nucleotides) under uncultured candidate division TA06 bacterium. Its description in RNAcentral is "bacterial SSU rRNA". It matches the Rfam family "Bacterial small subunit ribosomal RNA", at positions 521 to 896 of the family's 1533-position model. The record is from RNAcentral.